This 253-nucleotide ribosomal RNA is filed under the name uncultured bacterium. RNAcentral's name for it is "partial 16S ribosomal RNA". It matches the Rfam family "Bacterial small subunit ribosomal RNA", at positions 524 to 776 of the family's 1533-position model. The record is from RNAcentral.
AACGUAGGACGCAAGCGUUAUCCGGAGUUACUGGGCGUAAAGCGCGCGCAGGCGGCUCGACAAGUUCGCUGUGAAAGCUCCCGGCUCAACCGGGCGAGGGCAGUGGAAACUAUCGAGCUGGAGGGCAGUAGAGGCAGGCGGAAUUCCGGGUGGAGUGGUGAAAUGCGUAGAGAUCCGGAGGAACACCAGAGGCGAAGGCGGCCUGCUGGGCUGCACCUGACGCUGAGCCGCGAAAGCCAGGGGAGCGAACGGG